CCUACGGGAGGCAGCAGUGGGGAAUAUUGGGCAAUGGAGGAAACUCUGACCCAGCAACGCCGCGUGAAUGAUGAAGGUCUUCGGAUUGUAAAGUUCUUUUCUAAGGGAAGAAGAAAGUGACGGUACCGUAGGAAUAAGCCUCGGCUAACUACGGGCCAGCAGCCGCGGGAAUACGUAGGAGGCAAGCGUUAUCCGGAAUGAAUGGGCGUAAAGGGUGCGUAGGUGGUUUGACAAGUUGGUAGCGUAACUCCGGGGCUCAACCUCGGCACUACUACCAAAACUGUCGGACUUGAGUGCAGGAGGCGCAACUGGAAUUCCUAGUGUAGCGGUGUAAUGCGUAGAUAUUAGGCGGAACACCAGUGGCGAAGGCGAUUUGCUGGACUGUAACUGACACUGAGGCACGACAGCGUGGGGAGCAAACAGGAUUAGAUACCCCAGUAGUC
RNAcentral lists this ribosomal RNA (443 nucleotides) under uncultured bacterium. RNAcentral's name for it is "partial 16S ribosomal RNA". It matches the Rfam family "Bacterial small subunit ribosomal RNA", at positions 338 to 795 of the family's 1533-position model. The record is from RNAcentral.